RNAcentral lists this ribosomal RNA (492 nucleotides) under uncultured bacterium. RNAcentral describes it as "partial 16S ribosomal RNA". It matches the Rfam family "Bacterial small subunit ribosomal RNA", at positions 29 to 507 of the family's 1533-position model. The record is from RNAcentral.
AGUGAACGCUGGCGGUAGGCCUAACACAUGCAAGUCGAACGGCAGCACAGUAAGAGCUUGCUCUUACGGGUGGCGAGUGGCGGACGGGUGAGGAAUACAUCGGAAUCUACUUUUUCGUGGGGGAUAACGUAGGGAAACUUACGCUAAUACCGCAUACGACCUACGGGUGAAAGCAGGGGAUCUUCGGACCUUGCGCGAUUGAAUGAGCCGAUGUCGGAUUAGCUAGUUGGCGGGGUAAAGGCCCACCAAGGCGACGAUCCGUAGCUGGUCUGAGAGGAUGAUCAGCCACACUGGAACUGAGACACGUUCCAGACUCCUACGGGGGGCAGCAGUGGGGAAUAUUGGACAAUGGGCGCAAGCCUGAUCCAGCCAUACCGCGUGGGUGAAGAAGGCCUUCGGGUUGUAAAGCCCUUUUGUUGGGAAAGAAAAGCAGCAGGUUAAUACCCCGCUGUUCUGACGGUACCCAAAGAAUAAGCACCGGCUAACUUCGUG